AGCUGCUACGUCCGCGUACUUUUUCGCUGAAGAUCGAGCACCUAUAAAUUCCAUUCACCAGCUUCACUAUGAUUCAUCAACCAAAGCCAACCAAAAACUUCCUCUGCUGCUUAGCUAAAGAAUCAUCGCCAUCAUGAGUGUGGAGAUCCUCGACGGCAAGACGGUCCGGAGCUUCGUGGAGGACGAGGGCGCCUUCAACUCCUCGGUCGACGGCCGCUUCGCCGCGCUCGACGCCAACCGCGACGGCCUCCUCUCCUACACCGAGAUGGCCGGGGAGCUGAUGAGCCUCCGCGUGCUGGAGAAGCACUUCGGCGUCGACGACGAGGCCGCCAUGGGCGCCGACGAGCUCGUGGAGCUGUACCGUGGCCUGUUCGCGAGGUUCGACCGCGACGGCAAUGGCGCGGUGGACCUGGAGGAGUUCCGGGCCGAGAUGAAGGAGAUGCUGCUCGCCGUCGCCAAUGGCCUCGGGUUCCUGCCGGUGCAGAUGGUCGUCGAGGAAGGCAGCUUUCUCAAGGUGGCCGUCGACAGGGAGCUGGCCAAAGCUGCUUAAAUUAAUAUACCUGAACCGGCGAGCAUUUAAAUUUUCACACAGCUACGAUUUUAAUUGAUAUAUCUUGUGUUCACAAUAUUGAUCAUUGUUAUUUGAUAGCCUCUGUUGAGCUAUAUUUCAUUGUUACUUGUGUAACUGUGCUCUUUGAGAUAGACAAAGAUAAUAUGAUAUAAAAAACCAGUUUUGAUCAAGAGAAUCGGUUUGAAAGCUUGUGUGUGUCUACUAGAUACCAGGGUUUCAUCUUUCGGUUUGGUCAUUUGGACCAGGGUGCCCGAAAUAUCGAAAUUUCAGAAAUUUCGGUUCGAAAUUAUAUGAAUUUUUGAACAAAAUUUGAUUAAAUUAAACAAAAUAUUAUCAAAUUUACAAAAAAAAUGAAAAAAAAAUCGGUCGAAAUAAUGUCGUAUCUGGGUUCGAUCCGAAAUUUUGAACCCAUGCUAGCUGCCAGGCUUUGGAUUCUGAGCGCCACGUCAGGAACAAUAAAAUAUUUGGGCCUCUAACUCUUCGUGGGCUGAUCUGGGCCGUAGGCAGACGAGAGAGCCCAUGACACGAUCUCAUCAAUUCCGUAGUGGCCACGAACUCACGUAGCGCAAAUGCCGCUCCCGUUUCCGAAUCGUGCGAUUUAUCUCCUUUCUGUUUCCGAAUUUUAUUAGUAGUUGCGAUAUUAUUAAUACAGGUUUCGUAGCGGCCGCGUCUCCUCCUCCCUUAUAUAAAGGCAGCGUUUCUGCAAGUUAUUACCCAAAUCUACACGAGAGAGAGAUCGUUCGACGCAUAUAGAGAGAGAGAGAGGCAAGAUGCAGAUCUUCGUGAAGACGCUGACGGGGAAGUCGAUCACGCUGGAGGUGGAGAGCAGCGACACCAUCGACAACGUCAAGGCCAAGAUCCAGGACAAGGAAGGUAAUAUAACACGAUAUCAAGAUGAUAUCCCUAGCUUCUUCGUUUGCAUGUUCAUCUUGUUUAAUCGUUGAUGUCUUGAUGUCGUCUCGCGAUGAUCGACUGCACGUACGUACGCCGUACAUUUGCUGGCAUUGCUCGUCCCGUUAAUUUAGUGACUCAUCCUUUGUUUCGUACGUCGUGCUCUUGUGCGUCUAGACAGUAGAAAUCAUGUGUUUUGCACUAGAUGCGUGGUGGGUUGAUACUGCCGAAAUUGUUCAAUAUUGUAGUUGUAGAUUAGAUCGAUUUGAUAACCAAAAAGGAAGCCUUGUACUUUUCCAUUACAUUACAUAGGUCUAAGCAUGCGUGUGUUUAGUCGCAGUAAGCACGGAGCAACAAAUCCAAUCUAGCCAUCUGCUUAUAGUUCGUCUUCGCUGUGUACAUGUUUCUAUUCUGUCUUAGUAGUUUAAAAAGAUAUGCUAGUAUCUUUUAUCUCUUGAUAGGGAGUGCCUUCAUCGAUGACAUUGCUGCAUAACUGUAAUUAAAGACUCUUUUUUCUUGUUUUCAUGGAUUAAUAUUAACUUCCGAGCCCAUUCGACUAGCUAAAAUUCAUUCAUAUCUCUUUCACUGUUGUAUAUAUAGGUAUCCCUCCGGACCAGCAGCGCCUCAUCUUCGCGGGGAAGCAGCUGGAGGAUGGCCGCACCCUGGCCGACUACAACAUCCAGAAGGAGUCGACGCUGCACCUGGUGCUCCGCCUCCGCGGCGGCAGCAGGGGCGGCUACACCAUCCAGGAGCCCAGCCUCCUGCUCCUGGCGCUCAAGUACAACGAGAAGAAGAUGGUCUGCCGCAAGUACGAACUCAUCUUGAUCCUGUUUGACUAAUGCUAUAUAAUUUUUUUUUUAAAAAAAGAAACUUUACGGAAUGCUUACUAACAAAGAUCUCAGCUUUGAAUUUUAACGCUUAAUUCGUACGUGUAUUCCUGUUCCACGAUGCAUCCUAAUUAAGUUCCUAACCGCAGGUGCUACGCACGCCUUCCCGCCAGGUCUACCAACUGCCGCAAGAAGAAGUGUGGCCACACCAACCAGGUGAAGUGGUCCUUUUACUUAGUUUUGUCGUCAAAGAAAUGUUUUAACGUUUUUAGAUAGUUUGUUUUCAAAAUUGGUCGUUUGGUUGCAUCAGUCAUGUACACGGAUUCGUGUUACUCCCUCCGUUUUAUAUUAUAAGUCUUUUUUAGCAUUGUCUAUAUUCAUAUGUAUGUUAACGAAUCUAGACAUAUAACAUCUAUAUGAAUAUGGACAAUGCUAUAAAGUUUUAUAAUAUGAAACGAAUUUUUUUUAUAUAAUAGAUAUAAAAUCCAUCCACUAUUUGUACAUGUUAUUUUUUUCGAUUUGUAUACAUUGCCGUACGUUGGUUGUACGGCUGACCUAAUGUUGUUUUCUUCCAUCUGAAUUUUCAGAUAAGGCCAAAGAAGAGGUUUAUAUCCAAGACUGCCAACUGAAUAAAAGAGUUGUCAUGCAUCAGUUGAGUCGAAGAGUCUUCCUAUUCAGUUAUUAGCUCAUAUGUUAGCAUCAGUUGAGUCAAAGAGUCUUCAUAAAUGUUAGCCUGGCUGCUUAUGCUAUUUCUGUUUGUGAGAUUUGGUUAGAAGUUUUUACUGUUCAAAUCUCUAUAUACGCCCCUACUUUUCUGUUUUUGAGAUUUGGUUUGAAGUUUUUACUUGUUCAAAUCUCUAUAUACGCCCCUACUGCGAGACACCUAAUUUCGUUUACGGUUGCUUAAUUUCCUUUCUUUUGCAUGAAUGUUACGAGAAACUAGUUAGAGAAGUUUGAUUUAGAACCUCUUAUAUAUAAUAUAAUAGGAAACGGAAGGAGUGGGCAUGUUCCAAACUCACAUAUAUAAUCCCAGCGAAGACUAGCAGAUGCGAAGAUCAGGAAUAAACCUUUCGUGGUUUAGCUGAUUUGAUCAGACCUCACCAAAAUUUCUGAAAUUUUUGAAAUUUUGAAUAAAAUUUAGUUGUAUUUGAACAAAUAUUACCAAAAUUUACGAAAAAAAUAAAAAGUUAGAAAAUUUCAGCCAAAAUAAUAAUGUAUUGGAGAGGUCUGAAAUGACCGAAAUUUCCAACUUUGGCCAAGAUAACUUGCCCGAUCUCACAAAAGUCAACACAUUCAAAUUAACCAAGGUCAUCAAUGGCAAAUGACUAAUCUCACUAAAUAUAAUUCAACACAUUCGAAUUAACUGAGGUCAUCAAUGAUAGAUUAUUAAUCUCAGUAAGUUCCUAGUGAUAAAAAAAAUAAUCUAUGACUCCAGUACACAAAUAAUGCUUCCGCCGUUUGUUUUGCUGGCAACCCCACGAGUGCUUCCCGUUUCUAUUGAUGGCGGCGUGGCGCUAGGGCACUAAACACCAUGAACGUUUGCCAUAAAUGCUUCCCCUGUUAUUUUUUUUGCCUCACCAUGAACGUUUGACAUAGUGUUUCCCCUGUUAUUCUUUUCUGUAAGGCUAGUUCACAACAUAUGUUCGUUUGAGAAUUUCGGCAGGCAAAACAAGAUUAUUAUAGUACUAUUAGCUAUUACUGUAAACAUAAAACAUUGAUGUGGUGUGGUUGUUUUUUUUUUCCCAAGGAUGUAAACUUGAAUUUAUAUAUCAAAGCGUAAUGUCGCUCUAUUUUGUGCGUGUGUUUUUUUUUCAAAAAUAAUGUAUCAAUUCCUUGUUUAAUGUAUCAAUUCCUUUUAAGAAACAUACAUAAAACCGAUCCAAGUAGCUAUUAGAACUCGAUUCCGCUAGUUGCAACAGCCACGCCACGCCUACUCCGUACUUACUAAGGGAAUCAUGUUCAAAAUUCGGCUAAUCAAUCCACAGAAAUCCUGGCAAAGAUCACCAGAAUUUCUACUAAGUCAUCCAGAUCCCAACCGUGACCGACUCCUGAUUCCCGGUAUCUACACAGAUCAGUGCACGUCAAUACCGACGCAGUCGUUCGCCUAUAACAUUGGUUGCUUUCCAGGCAAGUCAUGUGUCUCAUGCCCAUAGCAUACGACUCUCUCCAAAAGACCAAAACCCAUUGGCCCGUCCCACGCAUCCACUAGACCACCACGCGCCAAGCUGAAGCCGGUCGGCAAUUGGCAGCUAGCGUACCACUCGAUCAAUUCCAUUAGUAAACUCUCCCCUAUAUAAACAGCACUCGCAAGCAUCGAUCUCCACUCAAAUUAGCCACUCCACUCCAAGCAAACCGAGUCUCACUUACUCUGAGCUUCUCUACACAUCCAGUGCUACUCCAGUUUAAUUAGCAUCCGCCACCAUGAGCGUGGAGAUCCUCGACGGCAAGACGGUGCGGAGCUUCGUGGAGGACGAGGGCGCCUUCAACUCCUCGGUCGACGGCCGCUUCGCCGCGCUCGACGCCAACCGCGACGGCGUGCUCUCCUACGCCGAGAUGGCCGGGGAGCUGAUGAGCCUCCGCGUGCUGGAGAAGCACUUCGGCGCCGACGAAGACGAGGCCGCCAUGGGCGCCGACGAGCUCGCGGCGCUGUACCGCGGGCUGUUCGCGCGGUUCGACCGCGACGGCAGCGGCGGCGUCGACCUGGAGGAGUUCCG
Molecule: long non-coding RNA, 5003 nt
Filed under: Oryza sativa (Asian cultivated rice)
Lineage: Eukaryota; Viridiplantae; Streptophyta; Magnoliopsida; Poales; Poaceae
Description: long non-coding RNA (OSAT_LNC001687)
Source: RNAcentral